This 253-nucleotide ribosomal RNA is filed under the name uncultured bacterium. Its description in RNAcentral is "partial 16S ribosomal RNA". It matches the Rfam family "Bacterial small subunit ribosomal RNA", at positions 524 to 776 of the family's 1533-position model. The record is from RNAcentral.
UACGUAGGGCGCGAGCGUUGUCCGGAAUUAUUGGGCGUAAAGAGCUCGUAGGCGGCCUGUUGCGUCCGCUGUGAAAGUCCAGGGCUCAACCCUGGAAUGCCGGUGGAAACUGUCGAGCUAGAGUCCGGAAGAGGCGAGUGGAAUUCCUGGUGUAGCGGUGAAAUGCGCAGAUAUCAGGAGGAACACCAAUGGCGAAGGCAGCUCGCUGGGACGGUACUGACGCUGAGACGCGAAAGCGUGGGGAGCAAACAGG